AUGAGGUUUGCAAUGGCGAACAAGGCAUACAUGGCGGUGACUCUGGGAGCGGCCAUGGAGCUCAAGGAGCAGGUGGCCAAGCCGUGCUCGGCGGCGGCGAAGCGGGGCCUGCCGGUGGUGGCUGUCCGGUCGUCGGCCGUCAAGGUCGAUGCCGCCGAGGAGUCGCUGAGGAUGGUCAUGUACCUCAGCUGCUGGGGCCCAUGUUAG
RNAcentral lists this ribosomal RNA (207 nucleotides) under Triticum aestivum (bread wheat). Its description in RNAcentral is "partial small subunit ribosomal RNA". Lineage: Eukaryota; Viridiplantae; Streptophyta; Magnoliopsida; Poales; Poaceae. The record is from RNAcentral.